RNAcentral lists this ribosomal RNA (468 nucleotides) under uncultured Megasphaera sp. RNAcentral describes it as "bacterial SSU rRNA". It matches the Rfam family "Bacterial small subunit ribosomal RNA", at positions 84 to 525 of the family's 1533-position model. Lineage: Bacteria; Bacillati; Bacillota; Negativicutes; Veillonellales; Veillonellaceae. The record is from RNAcentral.
UAUGAAAUCGAGUGGCAAACGGGGUGAGUAACGCGUAAACAACCCUGCCCUUCGGAUGGGGAUAACAGCCGGAAACGGCUGCUAAUACCGAAUACGAUCUUUUCGUCGCAUGACGGAAAGAAGAAAGGAUGGCCUCUAUACAAAGCUAUCGCCGAAGGAGGGGUUUUGCGUCUGAUUAGCUGGUUGGAGGGGUAACGGCCCAACAAGGCGAUGAUCAGUAGCCGGUCUGAGAGGAUGAAUGGCCACAUUGGGACUGAGACACGGCCCAGACUCCUACGGGAGGCAGCAGUGGGGAAUCUUCCGCAAUGGACGAAAGUCUGACGGAGCAACGCCGCGUGAGUGAAGAAGGUCUUCGGAUUGUAAAGCUCUGUUAUACGGGACGAAAAAGACGGAUGCCAACAGUAUCCGUCCGUGACGGUACCGUAAGAGAAAGCCACGGCUAACUACGUGCCAGCAGCCGCGGUAAAU